RNAcentral lists this small nuclear RNA (109 nucleotides) under Colius striatus (speckled mousebird). RNAcentral's name for it is "U2 spliceosomal RNA". It matches the Rfam family "U2 spliceosomal RNA". From Rfam's summary of the family: U2 is a small nuclear RNA (snRNA) component of the spliceosome (involved in pre-mRNA splicing). Complementary binding between U2 snRNA (in an area lying towards the 5' end but 3' to hairpin I) and the branchpoint sequence (BPS) of the intron results the bulging out of an unpaired adenosine, on the BPS, which initiates a nucleophilic attack at the intronic 5' splice site, thus starting the first of two transesterification reactions that mediate splicing. The record is from Rfam by way of RNAcentral. Lineage: Eukaryota; Metazoa; Chordata; Aves; Coliiformes; Coliidae.
AACACUUCUCAGCCUUUUGGCUAAGAUCAAGUGUAGUAUCUGUUCUUAUCAGUUUAAUACCUGAUUUUUUUUUUUUUUUGAGGAGAGCAGUGGAUGUCAUCUACCUUGA